GACGUAGGGCGCGAGCGUUGUCCGGAAUUAUUGGGCGUAAAGAGCUCGUAGGCGGCUCGUUGCGUCGGCUGUGAAAACCCACAACUCAACUGUGGGCCUGCAGCCGAUACGGGCGAGCUAGAGUUCGGUAGGGGAGACUGGAAUUCCUGGUGUAGCGGUGAAAUGCGCAGAUAUCAGGAGGAACACCGGUGGCGAAGGCGGGUCUCUGGGCCGAUACUGACGCUGAGGAGCGAAAGCGUGGGGAGCGAACAGG
This 253-nucleotide ribosomal RNA is filed under the name uncultured bacterium. RNAcentral describes it as "partial 16S ribosomal RNA". It matches the Rfam family "Bacterial small subunit ribosomal RNA", at positions 524 to 776 of the family's 1533-position model. The record is from RNAcentral.